RNAcentral lists this ribosomal RNA (465 nucleotides) under uncultured bacterium. Its description in RNAcentral is "partial 16S ribosomal RNA". It matches the Rfam family "Bacterial small subunit ribosomal RNA", at positions 28 to 507 of the family's 1533-position model. The record is from RNAcentral.
GAUGAACGCUGGCGGCGUGCUUAACACAUGCAAGUCGAACGGAAAGGCUCCUGCUUGCAGGGGUACUCGAGUGGCGAACGGGUGAGUAACACGUGGGUGAUCUGCCCUGCACUUCGGGAUAAGCCUGGGAAACUGGGUCUAAUACCGGAUAGGACCACAUUUUGGAUGGUGGGGGGGAAAGUUUUUCGGUGGGGGAUGAGCUCGCGGCCUAUCAGCUUGUUGGUGGGGUAAUGGCCUACCAAGGCGUCGACGGGUAGCCGGCCUGAGAGGGUGUACGGCCACAUUGGGACUGAGAUACGGCCCAGACUCCUACGGGAGGCAGCAGUGGGGAAUAUUGCACAAUGGGCGCAAGCCUGAUGCAGCGACGCCGCGUGGGGGAUGACGGCCUUCGGGUUGUAAACUCCUUUCGCUAGGGACGAAGCGCAAGUGACGGUACCUGGAGAAGAAGCACCGGCUAACUACGUG